CCUACGGGAGGCAGCAGUGGGGGAUAUUGCACAAUGGAGGAAACUCUGAUGCAGCGACGCCGCGUGAGUGAAGAAGGCCUUCGGGUCGUAAAGCUCUGUCCUAGGGGAAGAUAAUGACGGUACCCUAGGAGGAAGCCCCGGCUAACUACGUGCCAGCAGCCGCGGUAAU
RNAcentral lists this ribosomal RNA (169 nucleotides) under uncultured bacterium. Its description in RNAcentral is "partial 16S ribosomal RNA". It matches the Rfam family "Bacterial small subunit ribosomal RNA", at positions 338 to 524 of the family's 1533-position model. The record is from RNAcentral.